Molecule: ribosomal RNA, 253 nt
Filed under: uncultured bacterium
Lineage: Bacteria
Description: partial 16S ribosomal RNA
Rfam family: Bacterial small subunit ribosomal RNA
Source: RNAcentral
UACGUAGGGUCCGAGCGUUGUCCGGAAUUACUGGGCGUAAAGAGCUCGUAGGUGGUUUGUCGCGUUGUUCGUGAAAACUCACAGCUCAACUGUGGGCGUGCGGGCGAUACGGGCAGACUUGAGUACUGCAGGGGAGACUGGAAUUCCUGGUGUAGCGGUGAAAUGCGCAGAUAUCAGGAAGAACACCGGUGGCGAAGGCGGCUCUCUGGGCCUUACCUGACGCUGAGGAGCGAAAGCGUGGGUAGCGAACAGG